Asparagus officinalis (garden asparagus) is the source of this 679-nucleotide long non-coding RNA. RefSeq lists it as uncharacterized. NCBI's taxonomy places the organism in Eukaryota, Viridiplantae, Streptophyta, Magnoliopsida, Asparagales, Asparagaceae. The record is from RefSeq and is a predicted model, not a curated record. The transcript is spliced from 2 exons.
AAUAAAUUGUAAACCCUAAAUUAACACUUGUCUCCUCCUACUACUCUCUAUUAACUCGUUGUUUUUCAUCUUCUCCCUCUUCUUCUUGCUUCCUUUUUCUCUCCUCCUCCUUCAUUUCUAAGCACACAGUCUCUCUCACUCCCUCAAGACCCUCCUCCUUCAAGAUCCAUUCUCUGUCCUCUUCAAACUUCUAUCCCAUCACAGACUCUUCACCCAUGGGCUUCCCCUCUCUCAACUCGGAGCCUAACAGGUAGGACCUAUCUUAAUACAAGCCCUGCUCAAGAAGGGAGAUUAGGCAGCCUCAGAUUCCCCAGGAUAUGAUCACUCUGUUGGAGGAUAUGGAGCCGAAUGCCUCGUCAAAGGCCACAGUAUUGAAGCUUGCGGUGCAAGGGAUUAUCAGAAAGAUGGUUGAUGAGAUGGAGUCUGGGUUAAUGAUGGAGAUGGAUUACAUGUUAUUCAUUUUGGAUGUUUGGUAGAAGCAAAUUCAAGUAGUUUGAGAGAAAGUCGAAGUUAGUAAGGUUCAAUUUAGCAUUUCACAUUUAAAUUAUGCAUUUCUAGAGAUGAAAAGAAAUAUUAGUAUAACCUUAGGUUGUUUUACAUUCAUUGAUAUGCUACUAAUGUUGUAUUUAUAGUGAAGAUAUAAAAGUUAGGCUUUCACCAAAUUUGGUCUACUUUUGAA